This 497-nucleotide long non-coding RNA is filed under the name Oryza brachyantha (malo sina). RNAcentral describes it as "long non-coding RNA (OBRA_LNC001453)". Lineage: Eukaryota; Viridiplantae; Streptophyta; Magnoliopsida; Poales; Poaceae. The record is from RNAcentral.
UUAUUAUAGUCAAUAAACAAUGAUGUAGUGGAGAAAGUUUAGUUCAUUCAAUGUACUAAAAUUUCUCCAUUUUGAGAGUUAAUACUUCUUUUGUAAAAAAGACAAAACUAUGUCAAUUUUGUUUCCAUAAUUUUUUUAAAAUUUAGUCAAAUUUAUCAAAGUUUAGUCAAAUAUCAAUCAAAACCGACUCAAAUCUGUUAAAAACAAGUUAAAUAUUAUAAAUAUUUUUUACAAUACACACAUGUGUAAAAACAGGACCAAAUAUGCAAAUAAAACUAACAAAACAGGGUUAAAUGUGCAAGGGUAAAACGUCCACUUUUUCCUCACUUAACACCGUUAAACUAACUUAACGGAGUGGGGCUAAACGGGAGCUUCAAUUUUGAAAAGUGAGGCCAGAUCUGCAAAGUGGAAAAAACAAGGCUAAAUCUGCCAUUGAACUCUAAAGUAAGGCCAGUUAUACAAUUGCCCCAAAGAGAAAAGGGCAAUAAGAGAAUUAU